AAAGCUCCGGCGGUGCAGGAUGAGCCCGCGGCCUAUCAGCUAGUUGGUGAGGUAACGGCUCACCAAGGCGACGACGGGUAGCCGGCCUGAGAGGGCGACCGGCCACACUGGGACUGAGACACGGCCCAGACUCCUACGGGAGGCAGCAGUGGGGAAUAUUGCACAAUGGGCGAAAGCCUGAUGCAGCGACGCCGCGUGAGGGAUGACGGCCUUCGGGUUGUAAACCUCUUUCAGCAGGGAAGAAGCGAAAGUGACGGUACCUGCAGAAGAAGCGCCGGCUAACUACGUGCCAGCAGCCGCGGUAAUACGUAGGGCGCAAGCGUUGUCCGGAAUUAUUGGGCGUAAAGAGCUCGUAGGCGGCUUGUCACGUCGGUUGUGAAAGCCCGGGGCUUAACCCCGGGUCUGCAGUCGAUACGGGCAGGCUAGAGUUCGGUAGGGGAGAUCGGAAUUCCUGGUGUAGCGGUGAAAUGCGCAGAUAUCAGGAGGAACACCGGUGGCGAAGGCGGAUCUCUGGG
This 515-nucleotide ribosomal RNA is filed under the name Streptomyces sp. MIM-08. RNAcentral's name for it is "bacterial SSU rRNA". It matches the Rfam family "Bacterial small subunit ribosomal RNA", at positions 202 to 733 of the family's 1533-position model. RNAcentral also lists the same sequence under 1 other name. The record is from RNAcentral. Lineage: Bacteria; Bacillati; Actinomycetota; Actinomycetes; Kitasatosporales; Streptomycetaceae.